UACGUAGGCAGCGAGCGUUGUUCGGAGUUACUGGGCGUAAAGGGUGUGUAGGCGGUUCGGUAAGUUGGGUGUGAAACCUCCAGGCUCAACCUGGAGACGCCACCCGAUACUGCUGUGACUAGAGUCCGGUAGGGGAGCGUGGAAUUCCUGGUGUAGCGGUGAAAUGCGCAGAUAUCAGGAGGAACACCGGUGGCGAAGGCGGGUCUCUGGGCAGUAACUGACGCUGAGGAGCGAAAGCGUGGGGAGCGAACAGG
RNAcentral lists this ribosomal RNA (254 nucleotides) under uncultured bacterium. RNAcentral's name for it is "partial 16S ribosomal RNA". It matches the Rfam family "Bacterial small subunit ribosomal RNA", at positions 524 to 776 of the family's 1533-position model. The record is from RNAcentral.